This 468-nucleotide ribosomal RNA is filed under the name uncultured bacterium. RNAcentral describes it as "partial 16S ribosomal RNA". It matches the Rfam family "Bacterial small subunit ribosomal RNA", at positions 28 to 507 of the family's 1533-position model. The record is from RNAcentral.
GACGAACGCUGGCGGCGUGCUUAACACAUGCAAGUCGAACGGAAAGGCCCUGCUUUUGUGGGGUGCUCGAUUGGCGAACGGGUGAGUAACACGUGAGUAACCUGCCCUUGACUUUGGGAUAACUUCAGGAAACUGGGGCUAAUACCGGAUAGGAGCUCCUGCUGCACGGUGGGGGUUGGAAAGUUUCGGCGGUUGGGGAUGGUCUCGCGGCUUAUCAGCCUGUUGGGGGGGUAGUGGGUUACACAGGCUUUGACGGGUAGCCGGCCUGGGAGGGUGACCGGGCACAAUGGGACUGAGGGAGGGCCCAGACUGCUACGUGAGGCAGCGGUGGGGAAUAUUGCACAGUGGGCGGAAGCCUGAGGCAGCAACGCCGCGUGCGGGAUGACGGCCUUCGGGUUGUAAACCGCUUUCGCCUGUGACGAAGCGUGAGUGACGGUAAUGGGUAAAGAAGCACCGGCUAACUACGUG